UUAGCAUGGAAUAAUAGAAUAGGACGCGCGUUCCCAUUUUGUUGGUUUCUGAGAUCGCCGUAAUGAUUAAUAGGGAUAGUUGGGGGCAUUUGUAUUCCGUCGUCAGAGGUGAAAUUCUUGGAUUGCCGGAAGACAAACUACUGCGAAAGCAUUUGCCAAGGAUGUUUUCAUUGAUCAAGAACGAAGGAAGGGGGAUCGAAAACGAUCAGAUACCGUUGUAGUCUCUUCUGUAAACUAUGCCAAUUGGGGAUUAGCACAGGAUUUUUAAUGACUGUGUUAGCACCCGAAGAGAAAUCUUUAAAUGAGGUUCGGGGGGGAGUAUGGUCGCAAGGCUGAAACUUAAAGGAAUUGACGGAAGGGCACCACCAGGUGUGGAGCCUGCGGCUUAAUUUGACUCAACACGGGGAAACUCACCAGGUCCAGACACAAAAAGGAUUGACAGAUUGAUAGCUCUUUCUUGAUCUUGUGGUUGGUGGUGCAUGGCCGUUCUUAGUUGGUGGAGUGAUUUGUCUGGUUAAUUCCGAUAACGAACGAGACCUUAACCUGCUAAAUAGACCCUCCGGCUUUGGCUGGAGGCUGUCUUCUUAGAGGGACUAUCAGCGUUUAGCUGAUGGAAGUUUGAGGCAAUAACAGGUCUGUGAUGCCCUUAGAUGUUCUGGGCCGCACGCGCGCUACACUGACAGAGCCAGCGAGUCUCUACCUUGGCCGGAAGGCCCGGGAAAUCUUGUGAAACUCUGUCGUGAUGGGGAUAGAGCAUUGCAAU
This 763-nucleotide ribosomal RNA is filed under the name uncultured fungus. RNAcentral's name for it is "SSU rRNA". It matches the Rfam family "Eukaryotic small subunit ribosomal RNA", at positions 804 to 1590 of the family's 1831-position model. The record is from RNAcentral. Lineage: Eukaryota; Fungi.